CUGUACAAAAAUUGCGAUCCCUUCCUUUGCAUCCCAUCUGCAAUCAUCCUCCUCCUCCCCUUCCUCCUUCUCCACCACCUCCUAUCCCCCUCUCUCGCUCCCUGCUUUCCUCCCCUUGCUCGUGUCUAUUCUGUCGCGUUAACCAGCUGCUAUUGAGAACGAGUCUGUAUCGUAAUUACGUGUAAUGAUUGUACCAACAAUGUGUACAGUGCUUACUUACUAUUGGCUUGACCGAGUAAUACAACGAUAAUUCCCUCAUUACUAACGGUCCUGCGUGACACGACACGAAGCAUUUGGCCCGUUUAUCCGCAGCGUUACGAUAUCAACCUAUUUCCCUGGACGUAUCACGUGGAAUCAAGAUUCCGCGGUUUGUCGGACAUACGCGUAACUAAUUCUCUUAUUUCCGUCACUGAACGCACACGCGAGCACGUACCGGGAACUUGUAGGAACACGUGGUCGCUUUGACAGAUAUUCCUGAUCUCACGUGAGAGCGCAUCCGUGGCUGCUUGGCGGACUGAAAAUCCCCGGAAGGUAUUUAUCGAUCGUUCCGCGCGGAGAGUAAUCGCGCGCCACGAUAUUCACCAGCGAAUGCGCUGCGAGUACAGAACCCUUGCGCGACCGGUUGCACUGAGUAACCCACGUCACCAAGGUCCACAUGAGCGGGGGAGGGAGUACUCGCAGUGAUUCAAGACUUCUCCUUUUAACUGGACACUUAAUAUUGAAUCGAGUCAAAGCGCCGCUGUCGAGGCGCAGUCCUACACGUGGGUCGAUCAGCUGAGUGAAUCACGUCUCGUCCGAAGCCUUUCAAAGCAUCCCAGUCUUGCGAGCAUUUCCACGCGAACAGUUAUUUUCUUUUUCUGCUAGCGACUCGCAACCUUCUUUUCAUUUUGAACGCACUCACCGGACACAUAGGCUUAUACUAGCGAUCAUGAAAUGAAAAUAAUGAAUCUUACAUUAACGUUUGAAAGAAUAAAUAGUUGUAAUUCGGGUUCGACAACUUGGAUACAGAUGAAUUAAUUCAAGCGUCUAAAUAUUAGUCGGUGUUAGUUGUUUCGAAACAGGUUUCGUUAAAAUUCCCAAGUGUCCAUCCACUUUAAGGAGUGCAUUGGACUUUCGGGAUCAUGGGCAGAUGGGCCAACCAUACCGUACGCCAAUGGUGAAAACAAAUAGAAACUGAAACAGACUAAAGCGGGCUGAUCCAUACAGCCACGCUGCUGUCGUACACAAGCAUGAACAUACAAAAUGAUAAAUAAUAUUAAGAAUACUAUGUUGCCCCACCAUAUGAUUGGAUUUCCGAACAUGUAUAUACACAAACUCCAAGGCAUCGACUAAAAAACUUACAAUAGGUUCUGUAAGAUUUCCUAAUUCAUUCCAUAAUUCAAUGGCUGUGUGAAGCCCGACCAAAAGGACAGCAAACAGACCAACAAAUUUUACGCUAAUUGUACAUGCAAGUGAAAUUCCUGUAAAAGAUAGCCAACCCCACCAUUUCCACGUGAAUGGUUCAUUGCGAAGAGAACUCAUGUGGGACAUACCCCAUGUUGCACACAUCAUAAAACAUAAUAGUAUGGGAUCCAAUAAUAUGUAUUGAUUUAAUGUCAACAAGCCAACAUCUACAAUACAUUAAUUAUUAAAAACAGUGUCCUUAUUAAGCAGAAAUGUUAAAAUGCACAUACCAAAUAAAAUAAAUGAUGCAGAAAAUACAGCUGCCUGAGUAGAUUUUGUUAAAUCCCAUACAAUUAGAUAUGAUAGAGGAACUGUGGUUGCACCUAAGAACGUACAAAACUGAAACAUAACGCAUUUAAUUUGUUUUUUUUUAUAGUAAAUAAUUUAAUCAUUAUAGUUGUAUUAACACAUUUGUGAUCAUGUGUCACAUAUGUGUGAUCACAGAUGCUUUUGUCGUCAAAACCCUAUUGUCGUAUUGGCUAUAUAAAAAUAUUAUUUAUGUAAAAUACUUUUAUCGUUUUAUUUACUAUGUUUUAAAUGUGUAUAAAUUAUUGUUCACAGUCUAUAGUAAGGGUAAUUCAAAUUUGAUAGUGGUCGCGAAUGUGUUAAUCUUGAAUUAUACUUACAAGCCUCAUACCAAUAUAUUUUACAUUUUCAUAUUUAUCUCCUGGCUUGUCAAAAGCAAAUGUUCCAUUAUAUCCAGUUAAAUAUCCGGAUAAACCUAUUAACAUCUGUAAAUUAACAAUGUACAUUCUUAGUAUACACAUACAGAUUUUAUAAAUGAAAUACUUACCUUUCCAAGGGGUGGGUGAACAUCGAAAAAGAAUGUUCUAUUUAUAUACCAACUUCCCAUUUUACCAAAAUGUGUCUCAUCCCAACUAAAAAUUAAUACUUAUGUAAAUUACAAAUUGUACGUUUAUUCUAU
This is a non-coding RNA of Nomia melanderi (Alkali bee), 2368 nucleotides long. Lineage: Eukaryota; Metazoa; Arthropoda; Insecta; Hymenoptera; Halictidae. The record is from RefSeq and is a predicted model, not a curated record.